This is a long non-coding RNA of Sander lucioperca (pikeperch), 275 nucleotides long. RefSeq lists it as uncharacterized. Lineage: Eukaryota; Metazoa; Chordata; Actinopteri; Perciformes; Percidae. The transcript is spliced from 3 exons. The record is from RefSeq and is a predicted model, not a curated record.
ACUUGUUGGCUUUUGCCCCUGCCACGCCGAAGAGGAUGGACAAAAACAAAGUGCCGGCAAAAAAGAGGCUACGGGUUCGCACUCAGAAAAUGAAGGACCUGAGCUCCCCUCCCCCAAAUGAGCAAUCUGGGUGUAUUGCAUUCGUCAGAUGGGAGGAUGGUUAUACCGGCAAAAUCUUUAAAGGAUCUGACAUUUUGGCAAGAGAUGAGGCUCCUGUGCAGUUGCAAGAUCUUAGAUCAGGAGAUCCUGUUUUAGCAAAGUGGUCAGAUGGUAAA